AGCAGCCGCCGCGGGAAUACGUAGGUGGCAAGCGUUGUCCGGAAUUAUUGGGCGUAAAGGGCUCGCAGGCGGUUUCUUAAGUCUGAUGUGAAAGCCCCCGGCUCAGCCGGGGAGGGUCAUUGGAAACUGGGAAACUUGAGUGCAGAAGAGGAGAGUGGAAUUCCACGUGUAACGGUGAAAUGCGUAGAGAUGUGGAGGAACACCAGUGGCGAAGGCGACUCUCUGGUCUGUAACUGACGCUGAGGAGCGAAAGCGUGGGGAGCGAACAGGAUUAGAUACCCCAGUAGUCCCUGUCUCUUAUAC
RNAcentral lists this ribosomal RNA (303 nucleotides) under uncultured bacterium. Its description in RNAcentral is "partial 16S ribosomal RNA". It matches the Rfam family "Bacterial small subunit ribosomal RNA", at positions 507 to 807 of the family's 1533-position model. The record is from RNAcentral.